RNAcentral lists this ribosomal RNA (499 nucleotides) under uncultured bacterium. RNAcentral describes it as "partial 16S ribosomal RNA". It matches the Rfam family "Bacterial small subunit ribosomal RNA", at positions 28 to 507 of the family's 1533-position model. The record is from RNAcentral.
GACGAACGCUGGCGGCGUGCCUAAUACAUGCAAGUCGAACGGAAAUUUUCUGGUUUUUUGGCUUGAAAAACUUACGGGCGGACGGGUGAGUCAUGCGUAAACAACCCUCCUCUUUGAGAUGACCAACUGAUAGUAAGGAUAAUAAAUAACAGGAAACAGCACUAAAUGCCUGGGUUAUGGUUGAUAGGUUGGUUUGGUAACACCUCGAGGUUGAUUUGCGUUUCAUUAGGUUGGUGGGGGGGUAAAGGCCUACCGAGGCGCCGGUGUAUAGGCGACGCGGGAGGGUGAUCGGCCACACGGGGACGUAAACACGGACCAGACUACUACGGGAGGCAGCAGUAGGGAAUCGUCCGCAAUGGGCGAGAGCCUGACGGAGCAACGCCGAGUGAGUGAAGAAGGAUUUCGGUGCGUAAAGCUCUGUUGUUAGGGAAGAAUGAUUGUGUAGUGACUAUACACAGUAGAGACGGUACCUAACAAGAAAGCCACGGCUAACUACGUG